This 570-nucleotide ribosomal RNA is filed under the name uncultured bacterium. RNAcentral describes it as "partial 16S ribosomal RNA". It matches the Rfam family "Bacterial small subunit ribosomal RNA", at positions 355 to 914 of the family's 1533-position model. The record is from RNAcentral.
UGGGGAAUUUUGGACAAUGGGCGAAAGCCUGAUCCAGCAAUGCCGCGUGUGUGAAGAAGGCCUUCGGGUUGUAAAGCACUUUUGUCCGGAAAGAAAUCCUUGGCUCUAAUACAGUCGGGGGAUGACGGUACCGGAAGAAUAAGCACCGGCUAACUACGUGCCAGCAGCCGCGGUAAUACGUAGGGUGCAAGCGUUAAUCGGAAUUACUGGGCGUAAAGCGUGCGCAGGCGGUUUGCUAAGACCGAUGUGAAAUCCCCGGGCUCAACCUGGGAACUGCAUUGGUGACUGGCAGGCUAGAGUAUGGCAGAGGGGGGUAGAAUUCCACGUGUAGCAGUGAAAUGCGUAGAGAUGUGGAGGAAUACCGAUGGCGAAGGCAGCCCCCUGGGCCAAUACUGACGCUCAUGCACGAAAGCGUGGGGAGCAAAACAGGAUUAGAUACCCCUGGUAGUCCACGCCCUAAACGAUGUCAACUAGUUGUUGGGGACUUCAUUUUCCUUAGUAACGUAGCUAACGCGUGAAGUUGACCGCCUGGGGAGUACGGUCGCAAGAUUAAAACUCAAAGGAAUUGAC